CCUACGGGAGGCAGCAGUAGGGAAUUUUGCGCAAUGGGCGAAAGCCUGACGCAGCAACGCCGCGUGAUCGAGACGCCCUUCGGGGUGUAAAGAUCUGUCAGUGGGGACGAAACUUGACGGUCCCCACAGAGGAAGCACCUGCUAACUCCGUUCCAGCAGCCGCGGUAAUACGGGGGGUGCAAGCGAUGACCGGAAUACUUGGGCGUAAAGGGUUCGUAGGCGGCACGUAAAGUCUGGUGUUAAAGGCAGAGGCUCAACUUCUGUACGGCAUGUGAUACUUGAUAGCUAGAAUGCGGUAGAGGUAAAGGGAAUUCCUGGUGUAGCGGUGAAAUGCUUAGAUAUCAGGAGGAACAGCGGAGGCGUAAGCGCUUUACUGGGCCUUAAUUGACGCUGAGGAACGAAAGCCAGGGUAGCAAAUGGGAUUAGAUACCCUUGUAGUC
RNAcentral lists this ribosomal RNA (440 nucleotides) under uncultured bacterium. RNAcentral describes it as "partial 16S ribosomal RNA". It matches the Rfam family "Bacterial small subunit ribosomal RNA", at positions 338 to 795 of the family's 1533-position model. The record is from RNAcentral.